AUAGAGGGCAUUCCGUUCGUUCCGUUCCUAUGGGAAAAUGGGACCGGGACCAGAACGGGCUCGGGACUCCGAAACCCAUUGAUAUAGGGAGAGAAGAAGAAAGAGGAAAGAAUGAAAGAAAGGAAAGACAAAGAAAAUAAAAAAAUGAAAGGAAAGAAGAAGAAAAAUGAAAAGAGAAUGGAAGGGAGAUGAAAAAGAAAAAAAAAGAAAGGAAAGAAAAAAAAAGUAGAGAAAAAGAAAGAUUAGAAGGAAAAAAGAAAAUAUGAA
RNAcentral lists this long non-coding RNA (267 nucleotides) under Elaeis guineensis (African oil palm). RNAcentral describes it as "long non-coding RNA (EGUI_LNC035739)". Lineage: Eukaryota; Viridiplantae; Streptophyta; Magnoliopsida; Arecales; Arecaceae. The record is from RNAcentral.